RNAcentral lists this ribosomal RNA (447 nucleotides) under uncultured bacterium. RNAcentral's name for it is "bacterial SSU rRNA". It matches the Rfam family "Bacterial small subunit ribosomal RNA", at positions 29 to 519 of the family's 1533-position model. The record is from RNAcentral.
AACGAACGCUGGCGGCAGGCCUAACACAUGCAAGUCGAACGCCCGUAGCAAUACGGGAGUGGCAGACGGGUGAGUAACGCGUGGGAACGUGCCCUUCGGUUUGGAAUAACUCAGGGAAACUUGAGCUAAUACCAAAUACGUCCGUAAGGAGAAAGAUUUAUCGCCGAAGGAUCGGCCCGCGUCGGAUUAGCUAGUUGGUGAGGUAACGGCCCACCAAGGCGACGAUCCGUAGCUGGUCUGAGAGGAUGAUCAGCCACACUGGGACUGAGACACGGCCCAGACUCCUACGGGAGGCAGCAGUGGGGAAUAUUGGACAAUGGGCGAAAGCCUGAUCCAGCCAUGCCGCGUGAGUGAAGAAGGCCUUAGGGUUGUAAAGCUCUUUCAGCGGGGAAGAUAAUGACGGUACCCGCAGAAGAAGCCCCGGCUAACUUCGUGCCAGCAGCCGCA